AGUGAACGCUGGCGGUAGGCCUAACACAUGCAAGUCGAACGGCAGCACAGCAAGAGCUUGCUCUUACGGGUGGCGAGUGGCGGACGGGUGAGGAAUACAUCGGAAUCUACUUUUUCGUGGGGGAUAACGUAGGGAAACUUACGCUAAUACCGCAUACGACCUACGGGUGAAAGCAGGGGAUCUUCGGACCUUGCGCGAUUGAAUGAGCCGAUGUCGGAUUAGCUAGUUGGCGGGGUAAAGGCCCACCAAGGCGACGAUCCGUAGCUGGUCUGAGAGGAUGAUCAGCCGCACUGGAACUGAGACACGGUCCAGACUCCUACGGGAGGCAGCAGUGGGGAAUAUUGGACAAUGGGCGCAAGCCUGAUCCAGCCAUACCGCGUGGGUGAAGAAGGCCUUCGGGUUGUAAAGCCCUUUUGUUGGGAAAGAAAAGCAGCAGGUUAAUACCCCGCUGUUCUGACGGUACCCAAAGAAUAAGCACCGGCUAACUUCGUG
This 492-nucleotide ribosomal RNA is filed under the name uncultured bacterium. Its description in RNAcentral is "partial 16S ribosomal RNA". It matches the Rfam family "Bacterial small subunit ribosomal RNA", at positions 29 to 507 of the family's 1533-position model. The record is from RNAcentral.